Molecule: ribosomal RNA, 301 nt
Filed under: uncultured bacterium
Lineage: Bacteria
Description: partial 16S ribosomal RNA
Rfam family: Bacterial small subunit ribosomal RNA
Source: RNAcentral
CAGUCGCCGCGGGAAUACGAAGGGGGCUAGCGUUGCUCGGAAUUACUGGGCGUAAAGGGCGCGUAGGCGGACAGUUAAGUCGGGGGUGAAAGCCCGGGGCUCAACCUCGGAAUUGCCUUCGAAACUGGCUGUCUUGAGUACGGGAGAGGUGAGUGGAACUCCGAGUGUAGAGGUGAAAUUCGUAGAUAUUCGGAAGAACACCAGUGGCGAAGGCGACUCACUGGCCCGUUACUGACGCUGAGGCGCGAAAGCGUGGGGAGCAAACAGGAUUAGAUACCCGCGUAGUCCCUGUCUCUUAUAA